CAGCCGCCACGGUAAUACGUAGGUGGCAAGCGUUGUCCGGAAUUAUUGGGCGUAAAGGGCUCGCAGGCGGUUUCUUAAGUCUGAUGUGAAAGCCCCCGGCUCAACCGGGUAGGGUCAUUGGAAACUGGGAAACUUGAGUGCAGAAGAGGAGAGUGGAAUUCCACGUGUAGCGGUGAAAUGCGUAGAGAUGUGGAGGAACACCAGUGGCGAAGGCGACUCUCUGGUCUGUAACUGACGCUGAGGAGCGAAAGCGUGGGGAGCGAACAGGAUUAGAUACCCGCGUAGUCCCUGUCUCUUAUAC
RNAcentral lists this ribosomal RNA (301 nucleotides) under uncultured bacterium. Its description in RNAcentral is "partial 16S ribosomal RNA". It matches the Rfam family "Bacterial small subunit ribosomal RNA", at positions 509 to 807 of the family's 1533-position model. The record is from RNAcentral.